UGUGCGCCUGCCCUCUCGGUGUCGGAGAGACGCCCUUCCACCUCUGGGAGCCUCGGUCUGUUGGGGUCGCGGAGUUCGGGCGCGGCUCCGGGUACCCGAGACCAGCGGCGGCAACUUCUAACACGGGAGAUUUCCCGCCACCCCACCCCGCCGCCGCGAGUCCUCGCGGGGCGUGUUGCGUGCGGAGAAUCGACGGGAUUUCUCUGGCUGUCGUUUGCGCUGCAUUUAUCCGAAUACAUCCAGCUCGCAGGCAUCCUGCAAGAAACGGCUCCCGGCUCGCGUGUACGCCGACACCUCGGCCCAACGCAGGACUCGAGGUGGUUUCUAGUGCCCGGGUGGCUGCAAGUCUGCCCUCCGAGGGAGGCUGGACAAGCGGCGCCCCCAGGUCGAGCGGCCUCUCGCUGCCUGGCAGUGCCUGGCAGCCCCCACCUCUGCCAGUGCUUCGGAAACCCGCCUGGCCAGGUUCGCCCGCGGUGAAAAAUGAAAGCAAAUUCCCCAACAGAGGUAGCCGGAACUUUCCUCGACGAAGGCUCCCUCCUGCGCCUGUGUCUGGAGAACCCCCAGAGCGCUGCAAGUUAGCAAGAGAGAUUCGAUGGCGGCUCUGGAAGGCGCACGAAGGGUGGGGCGGGGGAGCAAAGAGGCCACUGGGUGACCCAGCCUGGUCCGGGGUGAAACGCUAGAGAAGGCGCCUCGCCUUCCUUAUUUCAAUGCAACUCCUCGGCCCCAGACGGUAAAAAUAGUUUCCAAGCUGCCGCGGACGCCCAGGAUGUGUUUGCAGAGAUCAAACUGGGGAGGAGGCAGCUUUGUAAAAGUUGCAGAAAGAUUAGCCGAGAAGCGUCCGCCCGGCGGGGCUCAAGAAAGCUUGGGGACAGCUCCAUGUUCCUUGGGGCGGAAUGGCCCAAGAAUUGGCCUGGGUAACCCCCUGCCCAGUUCUCUGUCCUCACUUCGAGCCAGUGCUUAAAUAACUUCCCGCCGCCUGCCCUGCAAACUUCCCGGCGCGGCGCCGUUGAGGCCAGGACACAGCAAAGGCUAGCAAAACCCCGCCGCGGCGCGCUCGGCCCCGGCCCUGAGAGGCUGCGCGGGUGGGAGGACCAGUGUGGUUUCUGCUCCCACUCGGCUGCCCAGACCCUCAAGACCGAUCCCCCAACUCCUGGGAGCGGGUGCUUCCCUCUGGGAGCCGAGAUCUUGCGGGGCCAGCGAGGGCGCAAAGUGCGCGCGCUGGCCCGCGCGGGGGCGGCCGCGCGUCUCUCCGCGGGGCCUGUCGCCAGGCCGGCCGCGGCGCGUGAGUGAUGAGGGCAGAGAAGGGCGCCCAUAAAUCGCGGGUGUCAGGGCGAAAAACUCUCUUUAUUGUCUGCGUGAUGGAUGGGCCCGGGGACGAGACACCAAAUACUUCGUAUCGCCUUUAAAUGGGAACACAUUUUCCGCGGCCAUAAUUCAUGUUUUUUAAAUAGAAAGUUUGAAAUGUUGCCUAUAUUUCACCAGCCCUGACAUAUUUAUGAAUCGCUCCCUGCAUGCAAAUAUCAUUACUUAAAGCGCCGGGGAGAGCGCGGGGGAGGGGAGGAGGCGCGGUUCCCGGGGCGUGGGGGUGGUGAACCGGGGAAAUAUCGGUGGAGGGGGGCCAUCUCCCUAAAGGGCAGAGGGUGAGGUGCGGUGAAUAGCCGUAUCCGGAAACCGAGCGUGCCCCGGGCUUCUUUCCCGCCGCCAGACCCCGCACAGCCGCCCUGGGACGUUUUUCGAGGCUUGGGACCUAAGACGGGUCCCCGGACCCUGCUGGGAAACCAGGGGGCGUUUUUCGUCCCUCUCUGAGGCCAUUAUCCAAGCUGAAACCACCUUUUAUAAGAAAAAAGUUUAAAGAAAAAAAAUUUAACAAACACAAAUAAUAAUAAUAACCCAACAUGUUUCGCGUUCUUUGCCA
This 1915-nucleotide long non-coding RNA is filed under the name Homo sapiens (human). RNAcentral describes it as "non-protein coding ZNF503-AS2:5". Lineage: Eukaryota; Metazoa; Chordata; Mammalia; Primates; Hominidae. The record is from RNAcentral.